GGAGAGUAGAUAGUGUUUCAGGCUGGGACUCUGUGAGGAUAAGGCCCUGAGCAUUACAGCUGGAGCUCAUAUUCAGCUGGUUAUCGACCAUGGUCUGCAAGUCCUUCUCAAAGUCAUGGCUUUCCAGCAUAUAGUCCCCCAUUCUGAGCAGUCCUUGUGCUCUAAGGAAUCAACUGGGGCCAAGCAAUGUCUGUCUCCCACUGGACUGUGGGUGGGUCUUGCAUGUGUAUGCAAGUAUCAUAAGG
Dermochelys coriacea (leatherback sea turtle) is the source of this 245-nucleotide long non-coding RNA. RefSeq lists it as uncharacterized. NCBI's taxonomy places the organism in Eukaryota, Metazoa, Chordata, Testudines, Dermochelyidae. The record is from RefSeq and is a predicted model, not a curated record. The transcript has 3 exons.